Molecule: ribosomal RNA, 253 nt
Filed under: uncultured bacterium
Lineage: Bacteria
Description: partial 16S ribosomal RNA
Rfam family: Bacterial small subunit ribosomal RNA
Source: RNAcentral
UACGUAGGGGGCUAGCGUUGCUCGGAAUCACUGGGCGUAAAGGGUGCGUAGGCGGGUCUUUAAGUCAGAGGUGAAAUCCUGGAGCUCAACUCCAGAACUGCCUUCGAUACUGGAGAGCUCGAGUCCGGGAGAGGUGAGUGGAACUGCGAGUGUAGAGGUGAAAUUCGUAGAUAUUCGCAAGAACACCAGUGGCGAAGGCGGCUCACUGGCCCGGUACUGACGCUGAGGUGCGAAAGCGUGGGGAGCAAACAGG